GAUGAACGCUGGCGGCGUGCCUAAUACAUGCCAGUCGAGCGAACAGACGAGGAGCUUGCUCCUCUGACGUUAGCGGCGGACGGGUGAGUAACACGUGGAUAACCUACCUAUAAGACUGGGAUAACUUCGGGAAACCGGAGCUAAUACCGGAUAAUAUAUUGAACCGCAUGGUUCAAUAGUGAAAGACGGUUUUGCUGUCACUUAUAGAUGGAUCCGCGCCGCAUUAGCUAGUUGGUAAGGUAACGGCUUACCAAGGCAACGAUGCGUAGCCGACCUGAGAGGGUGAUCGGCCACACUGGAACUGAGACACGGUCCAGACUCCUACGGGAGGCAGCAGUAGGGAAUCUUCCGCAAUGGGCGAAAGCCUGACGGAGCAACGCCGCGUGAGUGAUGAAGGUCUUCGGAUCGUAAAACUCUGUUAUUAGGGAAGAACAAAUGUCUAAGUAACUAUGCACGUCUUGACGGUACCUAAUCAGAAAGCCACGGCUAACUACGUG
RNAcentral lists this ribosomal RNA (497 nucleotides) under uncultured bacterium. RNAcentral describes it as "partial 16S ribosomal RNA". It matches the Rfam family "Bacterial small subunit ribosomal RNA", at positions 28 to 507 of the family's 1533-position model. The record is from RNAcentral.